CCGCGGCCCGGAGCCCGGCGCCCAAGGCCCCAGCGACCCCGCCUCCCGCCCAGUCCCUGAAGCCGCGCCCCCCGCGCCCGCCCAACGCCGGGGACCCCGCCCUCCGCGCCACCGCCCCCGAGGGUCCCGCCCCCUGUGCCCCUCUGCUUCCGGGAACCUUGCGCUCCUCGCCCCUCUACCCCCGGGAGCCCCGCCCUCAGCGCAGCUCCCAGAGCCACCGUCUCGCGCCUCCUUGCGUCCUCCGGAUCCGCUCUCUCAGGGCUUACAGCGGGGCCCCCGCUUUUCGGGGCUCCCCUCGGCCAGCGCCGGAGGUGGCUGGCGCAUCCCCAGGUCCGCGCCUGGCAGCCUGACGGGACUGUUGGGGGUGACCGCCAUAGCGCCACGUGGUCACUUGUUUGACAAAGGAAACUUUUUUCUCCUUACGAAGUGCGGCAUUUCUGGUCCGAGCCACCGGCCGCCUUAUGCCUAUUGUAUUCCCUUUCCCUGCCGAGCCAUCUUUUUCGCUUUCUUUGAGCUGUCCCAAACCUGGGCCAGGGUCCUGGCGCGGUGAGCUGAUGGAAGGGGGUCGGGGGUUCAGGGCAGCGAGGGCGCCGAAGGUACGAGCUGGGGAGACUGGACUGGUGUCGGGAGUGGCGAAAGAAAAUCAGUUUCCCUGCCUCCUAAAGAGAGGAGUAAAAUGAAGUGCCGGGUAGCUCACAGUGCCUUUCCCUAAAAGGGAGUGUGGAACUGCCGGCAGGCAUCUGGGGCCGGCGGGCUGGUGCACCUGCACUUCGCUGUGCUUUUGCAGGUGAAGACGUAUUCCCCGAGCCGGCCGCGGGGCCUUUGCUUUCUCUUGGAAUCUCACGAAAAUCACGAGAACUCUAGGCGGCUUGAGGUUUGCAAACCAACUGAAGAGCGGCAGAAAGUUUUCAUAGGCAGGUCAGCCGGGCCAUUUUGAAGUGUGCCCCAGAGCACAACGAUUAAAAUUAUACAGAGCCCUCAUCUGCUUUACUUUCUGGCUGAUUUGACUGUAACAGGUCUCAGAUGAAGAUACUGAGCCAUGAAAGGAAAAAAAUUCACCUGAGAUCAUCCCCCGUCGCCCCUCAUGUGAUGGAACGGAGAGUCACAAAACAGAGGAGGACAGGCGAAUGGUCCCAGAGACCUGAAGACAGACUUCAUGGCCUUGGAGGAGACCACAGGACGGUCUCCAAACUCCCACCCAAAGAAUAAGGCAGCUUCGCAGGGUCACACAGCACCAGGGGCCUCUUCAACAUCCCCUGCAGGUCCACUAGUCUCCACCCUGGCCCGCUCGCACCGGGCGUCCACUGCAUCACUCACCCCCCCCGGCCGCGCCAGCCUGCCACCUCCAUCACGGUGCUGUCGGCCCCUCUCAUUCUUGUAGCCUGAGCUCCAUAUGUGAAGUGUUUGCCUCCUGACAUUCAAAGCUAAGCUUCUGAAACUCACAAAAAAACCAAAAAUCCCUCUUUCUCCUACAUACACAUGGAGCCUGGUACAUAGAGGUCAGAAACAUCUUGGAUGUCAACUUUCCUGCUUUUUCUGGGUUGAGGAAGACGAUUGGCCCUUCAUUCUGCUGGGCGCUUUUGCAUCUUCUCUCCCAUGGGGGCCAAUGUUCCCCAGCCGGAAGACUGUGUCUCCCCCGGUGGAGGAGAUCACGGGCUGCGAAGAGAAAGCAUGUCUCAUAGGGGCAGAAGGUGUGAGAUGUGGAGCAGGGCAGCCCGCAUCCUGGUGCUGUCACCACUGUCGGUGCAGUGUGACGGGGACAGAUUUCCACAUACAUGAAGUACUGCGAAGAGCGCCUGGCACAGAUUAAGCUCUCAAAGCUAUCAGGAUCUCAGAAUUAAAUUCCUUCACCAGAGCAGAGUGGGAUAUGGCUGGACGGCACGCGUUCGUAAGGAACGUGGUGUGCAGAGACCUCCACCCUUGAGGACCAGAGAGGAAGAUCUGGGAGCUGCCAGAUUUCGGAGCAGACAUGAAUGGGCUGCGAAGGUAGAGGAAGAAGCAGGAAGAGAUUGGGAUCACGGGGGGAAGGGUGGGAGGGAAGGGAGGGUGACUGUGGGAGGGUGGAAACCAGGCCAAGGAGGAGGGCUGCCAUUGUGGGGAGGGAGUGGGGAGCAGAGCCUCGGUGCCUGGAGGAGCUAGAUUUGGGAAGGAAACAUGGAGUGCAGAAGCCUCAGUGGUCCAAGGGGGACCCCGGCUUGCCCCGGAAAAGCCACUACUGCCAGGAUUCCCAUGGUCUCAGAACCAUAGGCAAGGGAGAUAGCACCCAGAUGGGUUUUUAGAUAGUGCGGCCUCUUACCAUGGAGCCUCUCCCGUCUUCAGCCAGACCAGGAACGUCCUUACUUAGGCCAGGAGGCUGAGAAACGAGGAAGCCCUCUGUGGCUUAGCUGGCAGCACCUCUGAGGCCAGGGAGCUGGGCCCGGGGAGACAGAUGAGAGUGAUGGCCGUGGCAGCCUGAUGUGGAGAGGGGUGUGGGGUGCACAGGGUUAUUCUAGGACGGCUGGGUGUCUGCACCUUGCGAGGGACCAAAGCUGCCCCUCCAUCUCCAGGGAUGAAGAUUCUAUGUUGGCCAAACUUCAGUCAGACUCCUGAACCUUCUCCUAGGCCCAUCUGCGGACCUCUUUGUAAGAUCCAGUUUCAGCAAGAACCUUGCUAAGUCAGUUUAACCAGAAGCCCACCCUCCAUAUCUGAUAUGGUUCCUCACCACUCCCUCCCCACAUCCUCCAGAGGACCUUUGGCCAUGAUAAUAAUUUUCCACGCGUGGGUAAUUGUCCAUCCACUGGUCCCCACACUGGUCCUUGGCUAUCAACUCCCACUUACCCAUGUUGUACUCGGAAUUGAGCCCUGUUAUAUACUGAGGUGUCUUUUGCCCUAUUGCAAUAGUCCCGAAUAAAAUUUGUUUUUAUCCCUUUAACUGGUGUCCAGCUCUGGUUUUUCUUUGACACUGGCUGGGUUCUCACCCUCUGCCCAAGAUCCUUCUCUGCUUCCCCCAAAACACUGGGGCUGCUGUGCUGUCUCCGUGGUCCCUUCAUCACUCAGAUGUGGGGGGGACACUUCCUAGCUGUUUCAUCUCUUAGAAGUAGACUGAAUUCCUCUCUAUUUCCUUAUUUAUUUCGUUCUUUUUUCUCACCACUUUCAGAUUCUUGUCAUCUUCCCCUGCCCUCUGGCCCUAUAAGACAAGCCCCUCCGAACACACCUGGCUGUUGUACUCUGUCCCCUCAUCGCCAAGCCUCAGGGUCCCCCCUGCUGAACGAGACAGCCAGGCCUGGUGGCUCUGGGACCUGGUGGGAAACUCUUCUCUCAGGCUUCCACUGCCGUGCUGCCGUCCUGGAUUUGUUUCUGCAUUUCUCACCAUUCCUUCUCUGUUUUCCUGUUCUUCUGCAAGGCCCAAGCCCUGGCAUCAUCUUCCCUGCCUGAGGAUUACCUAUAGCACUGACUGCCUCUCCCCCAAAUGCGUUCCUUAGGAUUCCAAGGAAUAGUGAGUGAAUGCUACCCCUCAGCAGCUGAAACUCUGCAUUUCCACCCUGCUUCCAGGGCUGAGACUGAGGACCUGUGGACCACAUUUUGAGUAGCAAAGGUCUAAAAAGCAAAAUGCCGUGCAGAAAUUUAAAUUCCCUACCUAAUGACGUAAUGAGCAUUAGGCUUUCCUUGCAGCAUAAGAGGAUCUAGAAGAGGGGUGACGGAUGAGCCGGGAAGGUAUGGGGAAGAGACGGUGAGAACAGCCACACAGCAUCCCAACCAUGAUGUGAAGACGUUUGUGCUGUGCGGUCGAGUGGCCGAGCCCCCGCUGCUUCUCCUCGCUCUGACUCAGGAGAAUGUGAUGAAUGCACAGUCAGCCACCCUGACAUGCAUGGACCACGGCAAGGGGGCAGGCAGAGGGUCAUAUGCCCUGUGUCUCAACAGCUAAAAGUUAUAAAUCAGAGUAACAAACUAUUUAAAAAGUAUAUGCUAUAGCCUUCUAACUUGAAAACUGUACCUUCGUAAAGACCUGGAAGACCAUGUUUGAAUGUACACGUUUUAGAAUCCUUGGAGCUCCACGUGAAUCGGUGGCACAGGGUGGCACCCAGGUACCGCCUUGGCCCUCCCAGCUCUGACUGGCACGGCUACGGGCUGCGAGUGCAGGCACGUGGACACCUUGACCCAUCCAUCUGAGCUACGUCAGCAAAAUACUAUCAUAUCUCUGCUUAAUUCCUACCUAUUGAAUUAUCGGUGCUUAGCAAAAAAGAAAAAAAGAAAAAAAAUUAACGGAGGGGGCAGUGUGGGUGAGGUUCCGUGCCACCCUUUCCAUAAGCACGUGCCUGGAGUGUGUGCAAGAGAGGAAGAUGCAAAUCUGCUGUGUUCUCUGUUAGUCUUGAAGGGUAGCAGAACCUGCCACCCUAAAACAUGCUAGUUUGUUCUAAGGAUUAUUUUGAGCUGAAGGCAAUUGGAAGAAGAAGAUACCAGAAAAGCUCCCUGCUCUCCUCCUAUCUGCCUAAAAGCAGGAUGAAAAUUUGCAAAGCUGUCCCCCGCCACCUCCCUACCAGAAAAGACAAAGGCUAAUUCCCCUAGACAACUUUAGACCCUUAUCCAGGGAGAAAGCUUGGACUCAGAUCUGCAAUAACAAGCCUCACUCGUGUUUACGAUGCUUUUCCAGGUAACCUCCCAAAACUCUUCUACCCCACACCUUUCUUUCCUUUGUCUUUAGCUCAAGAUGUUAUUUAAGCUGGAGUUCUAAGCCACCUUGGAGAGUUUCUCAUUUUUCCCUGGGUUUCUCCAAGGUAUACCUGAGGUAUACAUGUUAAUAAACUUCUGUGUGCUUUUCUCUUGUUAAUCUGCGUUUUGUUGCAGGGGUCUUAGCCAAGAGCUCAGAAGGGUAGAGGGAAAAUUCUUUUCCCUCUUCCACAGUUUCAAUUCUUUCUUGUUUGUCUUUCAUAGAAGAAGUGUUUAAAAGUACAUCCUCCCCCCCCAAAUGGCUGCUAAAUGCAAAAAAACUACCUUAUGUAGUGCUGGACAUAAGAAAGUGCAAUCUAUCCCCAUGCUGGAAGAAAAAAAUAUUGUGUUUUCAUGUUGUGGUUGGACUUCUGGAGAGAUGGUUUGUCGGACUUCAAUAUGGCAUUCAAGGGUAAUUUGGACUCUGCUCAAUAUUUACCUUAUACAUGGUUCUCUAUAAUCAGAACGGUGUUUUAGAAAUUAUAGCAGAAUAAGAUGACCCAGGAGAACAGGGGCUGUUGUUCCUAUAAGAGCAUGGAGGUCUCAAAUAGGACCGGGAGGCAUAGAUGUCAGAAAUCAGUCAGACUUGGU
Molecule: long non-coding RNA, 5277 nt
Organism: Orcinus orca (killer whale)
Lineage: Eukaryota; Metazoa; Chordata; Mammalia; Artiodactyla; Delphinidae
Exons: 3
Source: RefSeq, a predicted model, not a curated record